UACGUAGGGGGCUAGCGUUGUCCGGAAUCAUUGGGCGUAAAGCGAGUGUAGGCGGUUCGCUAAGUCGGGUGUGAAAGCCCCGGGCUCAACCCGGGAAGUGCACUCGAAACUGGCGAGCUAGAGUAUCGGAGAGGUUGGUGGAAUUCUCGGUGUAGAGGUGAAAUUCGUAGAUAUCGAGAGGAACACCGGUGGCGAAGGCGGCCAACUGGACGAAUACUGACGCUGAGACUCGAAAGCGUGGGGAGCAAACAGG
This 253-nucleotide ribosomal RNA is filed under the name uncultured bacterium. Its description in RNAcentral is "partial 16S ribosomal RNA". It matches the Rfam family "Bacterial small subunit ribosomal RNA", at positions 524 to 776 of the family's 1533-position model. The record is from RNAcentral.